CCCGGGGCCGCCUCCCCGAGGGACUCGCGGCCGGGAAAGCGACGCCGCGCCCGCGGUCCCUGAGGGCAGCGCUCGCUCCCCCCUGACGGGGCCGCGGGGGCGCAGAGGGGAAAGGCGCUCCCUCUGUGCGAGGUUCUGCCGCUCUGGUUUUGUUUCGGCUGCCUGGCCACGGUUGAUUUGUGCGUUGGAUUGUCACGCUGUCAAGAUGCUUUUAAUUUAAAAAAGCUUUUGGUGGUGUGGCACCAGCCUGAUACUCGGGUAUUUUUAAUAACAAGAUCGGCUUUUAAAACCUGGCAUAAGCAGAUGUUUUGUAAUUUGCUUUUUAAUGUGGAGAAGCGGGGGUUUGGUCUUAAUUCGAUUUAGAAAUCUUGCUGCAGUUUUCCCAAGCUAAAUCCUGAACCAGGAUGGUCCCAGCAAUGGCACCCAUAAACUUAGCAUGACCAAACAAAAAAGAGAAACGUUUUCCCCUUAGAAUGAAUAACAUAAACAAAGGUAACUGAGAACUGAAGAACUUCAGUAUUAGCCAUUUAUAUAUGCCUUUAGAAUGUGAUUCCUAAGAACGCAGACACUGGGGAAGCUGAUAAGCAAAAAAAAAUCCAGUGGAAAGUCAAAGAAGAUGAUUUUGGAGAAGCGGCAUCACCUGCGAUAUCUGUCUUCUGUCAGCAUCAUUUGCAGUCAUUAAGUAUCUUCCACCAGUGUUACGUCACACAGGAUGCUCACCUUUGGAUGCACUGAGAGACUCAGGAGAAGCUGGACACAGAAUGUCCACAGAAUGGACUGCAGUGACAGAGAUGGGAGCCUUGGGAUGUCCUUUCAACAGCUGCUGACUCAAAAUAUUCAGGUAGUUGGUGUUUUCGUCUGAAAAUUGUAAAGCAGCUGGAGGAACUUUGAAGAAAUAACACUAACAGUUCCUUUAUUUUAGGUAUAUUUGUAAUAUAUACCUAAAAUAAAGGAACUAUAAAUUCCUUUAUGAUAAAUUAAUAAACCUUA
Cyanistes caeruleus (blue tit) is the source of this 990-nucleotide non-coding RNA. NCBI's taxonomy places the organism in Eukaryota, Metazoa, Chordata, Aves, Passeriformes, Paridae. The record is from RefSeq and is a predicted model, not a curated record.